This 534-nucleotide ribosomal RNA is filed under the name uncultured Sebacina. Its description in RNAcentral is "eukaryotic LSU rRNA". The stretch from base 134 to 287 matches the Rfam family "5.8S ribosomal RNA". Lineage: Eukaryota; Fungi; Basidiomycota; Agaricomycetes; Sebacinales; Sebacinaceae. The record is from RNAcentral.
CAAGUGCACGUUGGUGGCUUUCAUCCAACACCCCUGUGAACCUUUGGCCUCUAGUUGGCUUCGGCUGGCAGAGGAUUUACAUACAAACUCGAAUGUAAUGAAAGUCCUUGUUGUGCAUGAGCACUAAUGUAACAACUUUCAACAACGGAUCUCUUGGCUCUCGCAUCGAUGAAGAACGCAGCGAAAUGCGAUAAGUAAUGUGAAUUGCAGAAUUCAGUGAACCAUCGAAUCUUUGAACGCACCUUGCACCCUUUGGCAUUCCGAAGGGUAUGCUCGUUUGAGUGUCAUUGUACUCUCGCACUCUCCAAUUCGGAUUCGGGUUGGGGAGCGGUGGACUUGGGUGUUGCUGCUUUACUGUGGCUCACCUCAAAUGUGUUAGUGCAACUCCUGGUUGGACAUAGUACGGCGUGAUAAGUAUCUUCGCCGGCACCUCAGAAGAGGGUGGUAAUCGGGGGCUCUGUGCUUCAACUGUCUUUGGACAAUCUCUGACACUUGACCUCAAUCGAGUAGACUACCCGCUGACUUAACAUAUCA